AACGAACGCUGGCGGCAUGCCUAACACAUGCAAGUCGAACGAGAUCUUCGGGUCUAGUGGCGCACGGGUGCGUAACGCGUGGGGAUCUGCCCUUUGGUUCGGGAUAACAGUUGGAAACGACUGCUAAUACCGGAUGAUGACGAAAGUCCAAAGAUUUAUCGCCAGAGGAUGAGCCCGCGUAGGAUUAGCUAGUUGGUGUGGUAAAGGCGCACCAAGGCGACGAUCCUUAGCUGGUCUGGGAGGAUGAUCAGCCACACUGUGACUGAGACACGGCCCAGACUCGUACGGGAGGCAGAAGUGGGGAGUCUUGGACAAUGGGCGAAAGCCUGAUCCAGCAAUGCCGCGGGAGUGAUGAAGGCCUUAGGGUUGUAAAGCUCUUUUACCGGGGAUGAUAAUGACAGUACCGGGAGAAUAAGCUCCGGCUAACUCCGUGCCAGCCGCCGCAGUAA
RNAcentral lists this ribosomal RNA (449 nucleotides) under uncultured bacterium. RNAcentral's name for it is "partial 16S ribosomal RNA". It matches the Rfam family "Bacterial small subunit ribosomal RNA", at positions 29 to 523 of the family's 1533-position model. The record is from RNAcentral.